Molecule: ribosomal RNA, 468 nt
Filed under: uncultured bacterium
Lineage: Bacteria
Description: partial 16S ribosomal RNA
Rfam family: Bacterial small subunit ribosomal RNA
Source: RNAcentral
GACGAACGCUGGCGGCGUGCUUAACACAUGCAAGUCGAACGGAAAGGCCCUGCUUUUGUGGGGUGCUCGAGUGGCGAACGGGUGAGUAACACGUGAGUAACCUGCCCUUGACUUUGGGAUAACUUCAGGAAACUGGGGCUAAUACCGGAUAGGAGCUCCUGCUGCAUGGUGGGGGUUGGAAAGUUUCGGCGGUUGGGGAUGGACUCGCGGCUUAUCAGCUUGUUGGUGGGGUAGUGGCUUACCAAGGCUUUGACGGGUAGCCGGCCUGAGAGGGUGACCGGGCCCCUUUGGGCUGGGAUUCCGCCCCGACCUCCUUGGGGGGGCGGCGGCGGGGAAAUUUCUCAAAUGGGCGGAGCCCUAUUGCAACAACCCCCCGUGCGGAAUGCGGGCCUUGGGGUUUUAACCCGUUUUUCCUGGUGACGAGGGGGGGGUGGCGGUAAUGGGUAAGAAGCCCCCGGCUACCUCCUU